UAGGGUUAAUACUGUUACUUCUGGUAGUAAUAGUAUUACAACUCAAGCUGCACCCAUUCCUCAGAUUAGAGGCCCUCAAGGCAUGCAGAACAACACGCCAGUGACUAACAGCAUAGACAUACAAGAGACAAGCUUCAAUAAAGGUUCAAUAUUCAAGGGCCAUACGUCGAAGACAUCCCCACUUGAAAAUAGACAGUUCAAUUUGCGGGGCGAGAGAGAAGCCCAGGCUUCACUCGGAGGGUGUUUGAUUGAGCUUAUAAGCUCUUUGAAACAUCUUAUUAAAUUGUUUCGAAGCUCGUAAGCUUCUUCAAAGUAUUUAGCAAAAUAAGUUUCUAAAGAGCUUAUAAGCUCCUAAAAAAUAAGUUCCUUUAUUCAAUUUAUUUUUUCAUUAUUUUAUAAGCGACAUUAAUUUUCAGAACUUAUACCUAGGAAAAAAAAUUACGCUUAUGCUGUCUUGGAUUGUUA
Long non-coding RNA from Salvia miltiorrhiza (redroot sage), 465 nucleotides. RefSeq lists it as uncharacterized. NCBI's taxonomy places the organism in Eukaryota, Viridiplantae, Streptophyta, Magnoliopsida, Lamiales, Lamiaceae. The record is from RefSeq and is a predicted model, not a curated record. The transcript has 3 exons.